AUGCAAGUCGAAUGCCGAUUUAUCGGCAUGGCAGACGGCUGAGUAACACAUGGGAAUCUACCUCAAACUCGAGAAUAGCCCAUCGAAAGGUGGUGUAAUACUCGAUAGUUCCGUUUACGGUAAAGCUCCGGCGGUUUGAGAUGAGCCCAUGUCCUAUCAGGUUGUUGGUGGGGUAAUUGCCUACCAAGCCUAUGACGGGUAGCUGGUUUGAGAGGAUGAUCAGCCAGACUGGGACUGCGAUACGGCCCAGACUCCUACGGGAGGCAGCAACUAGGAAUCAUGCGCAAUGGACGAAAGUCUGACGCUGCGACGUCGCGUGAGGGAUGAAGGUCUUAGGAUCGUAAACCUCUUUUAUCUGGGAACAAGUUCUGAGUGUACCAGAUGAAUAAGUGCCUGCCAACCACGUGCCAGAAGCAUCGGUAAUGCGUGGGGCACGAGCGUUAUCCGGAUUUACUGGGCGUAAAGAGAUGCGUAGGCGCCUUUUUAAGUCACUUGUAAAAUCUCCCCGCUCAACGGGGAAACUGCAAGUGAUACUGAAUUGGUUGAGUCAAGUAGAGGAGAGGGGAAUUCCUGGUGGAGCGGUUAAAUGCGUUGAUAUCAGGAGGAAUACCAAGUGCGAAGGCACCUCUCUGGACUUGUACUGACGCUAAGGCUCGAAAGUGUGGGGAGCAAAACGGAUUAGAUACCCGUGUAGUCCACACUGUAAACGAUCCCUGCUAGAUGUU
Molecule: ribosomal RNA, 725 nt
Filed under: uncultured organism
Description: bacterial SSU rRNA
Rfam family: Bacterial small subunit ribosomal RNA
Source: RNAcentral